GAUGAACGCUGGCGGCGUGCCUAACACAUGCAAGUCGAACGGAGACGGAGCUGGAAGGGACAGUUUACUGUAACGGAAAGAUCUGUCUUAGUGGCGGACGGGUGAGUAACGCGUGGGCAACCUGCCCUGUACCGGGGGAUAACACUUAGAAAUAGGUGCUAAUACCGCAUAAUAGGGAAUACCGCAUGGUAAUCCUUUGAAAACUCCGGUGGUACAGGAUGGGCCCGCGUCUGAUUAGCCAGUUGGCGGGGUAACGGCCCACCAAAGCGACGAUCAGCAGCCGGCCUGAGAGGGUGGACGGCCACACUGGGACUGAGACACGGCCCAG
This 328-nucleotide ribosomal RNA is filed under the name uncultured bacterium. Its description in RNAcentral is "bacterial SSU rRNA". It matches the Rfam family "Bacterial small subunit ribosomal RNA", at positions 28 to 334 of the family's 1533-position model. The record is from RNAcentral.